This is a long non-coding RNA of Strigops habroptila (Kakapo), 474 nucleotides long. RefSeq lists it as uncharacterized. The transcript has 2 exons. The record is from RefSeq and is a predicted model, not a curated record. NCBI's taxonomy places the organism in Eukaryota, Metazoa, Chordata, Aves, Psittaciformes, Psittacidae.
GGAUUGGAACUGGAUGAGCUUUGAGGUCCCUUCCAAACCAAACCAGUCUGGGAUGCUGUGAUUCUACGAAUGUAUUCUAAAAUAUCCACUGUACCCUGAGGGUUCUCAAAGCAUGUCAGGGCGCAGGCUACUAAGCCCUCUGCCCUGCUUGCCCCCAUAUUUCUACUCCUGUUUGUCCCCAAAGAAGAGCUCAGCAGUACGAAAGGUGACAGCAAGCAUGACACAGCACAGUGAAAUUUCAAGAUGUACAAAGGCAUUUCCACAAGGCAGGCACCUCAUCUCUGCAACCCAAGACCUCUUCCAGAAUGGAAGUUGCUUUUGAGUAGCAACAAAGAAGAUCUAUACCAUUUCUUGCAACCUCCUAUGUUCUCAGGGAUCCAGUUUCUUCAUUUCAGCAUAUCCUACAGACGUGAAAGAAGAACAUGUUUUCUUGCCAAAUUCAAUACAAUAAAGAAGUUAAAUGAAAGAAAAAAA